Molecule: ribosomal RNA, 404 nt
Filed under: uncultured prokaryote
Also listed under: 1 other name
Description: bacterial SSU rRNA
Rfam family: Bacterial small subunit ribosomal RNA
Source: RNAcentral
UGGGGAAUAUUGCGCAAUGGGGGAAACCCUGACGCAGCAACGCCGCGUGAAGGAUGAAGGCUUUCGGGUCGUAAACUUUUGUCUUUGGGGACGAUAAUGACGGUACCCAAGGAGGAAGCCACGGCUAACUACGUGCCAGCAGCCGCGGUAAUACGUAGGUGGCAAGCGUUGUCCGGAUUUACUGGGUGUAAAGGGCGUGUAGGCGGGAUGAAAAGUCAGAUGUGAAAUUCCAAGGCUCAACCUUGGGGGUGCAUUUGAAACUUUCAUUCUUGAGUGUCGGAGAGGAAAGCGGAAUUCCUAGUGUAGCGGUGAAAUGCGUAGAUAUUAGGAGGAACACCAGUGGCGAAGGCGGCUUUCUGGACGAUAACUGACGCUGAGGCGCGAAAGCGUGGGGAGCAAACAGG